RNAcentral lists this ribosomal RNA (776 nucleotides) under uncultured Neocallimastigales. Its description in RNAcentral is "partial large subunit ribosomal RNA". It matches the Rfam family "Eukaryotic large subunit ribosomal RNA", at positions 23 to 620 of the family's 3401-position model. Lineage: Eukaryota; Fungi; Neocallimastigomycota; Neocallimastigomycetes; Neocallimastigales. The record is from RNAcentral.
UAGAGAGAGACAUGCGCGCAUAUCAAUAAGCGGAGGAAAAGAAACUAACAAGGAUUCCCUUAGUAACGGCGAGUGAAGCGGGAAGAGCUCAAAUUUGAAAUCUUCAAGGUUUUACCUUGACGAAUUGUAGUUUAAAGAAGUGUUUUCUGCUGAAGUUUUGGUAAAAGUUCUUUGGAAUAGGACAUCAUAGAGGGUGAGAAUCCCGUAUUUGACCAUUAUUUUCAGCUUUGUGAUACACUUUCAAAGAGUCGGAUUGUUUGGGAAUGCAGUCCAAAAUGGGUGGUAAAUUUCAUCUAAAGCUAAAUAUUGGCGAGAGACCGAUAGCGAACAAGUACCGUGAGGGAAAGAUGAAAAGAACUUUGAAAAGAGAGUUAAACAGUACGUGAAAUUGUCAAAAGGGAAGCGUUUGACACCAGUGUUGUUUUCUCGAAAAUCAAUUAAAAAUGGCUCGAUUUUGUAGUUGUUGAGACCUUAAAAGCUCACUGUACAUUUUUCGUGUCUUUUUUAAUGCACUUUUCGUUUAACGAGUCAACAUCAGUUUCUUUUGUUGUAAAAGGGUCAUUGGAAGGUGGCUUUCUUUUCGGAGAAAGUGUUUAUAGCCUUUGGCCUCUGCAAUCGGAGAGACUGAGGUCUGCAGCGUAGACUCUUCGGGGUUAGAUACAUUUGUGCUAAGUUAUAGCUUUUUAUAGACAACUUGUUGACUAUAAUUAGUCUUGUAGCUUACUCGCUUAUGCUAUUUUACCUACGCUUAGGAUGUUGAAGAUGUAGCACAUCAU